AGUAUCACUGCGCGUCAGCAUUGCGGCGGCUGUGGGGAUGGAAGCGCAUGCGCUUGAAAAAACCAUUCUAUGGAAAAGUCGAGAACGUUCACAUGCUCCCAAAUCUGCCAAGUAUUCAGAGAAUGCUGUCGUUUGACCUAUCAAUUACGUACAGAGCAAAUCAGUGAUUUAUUUUCACUCUUUCUUCAAUUCUUUGAACUUGAAUCAAACUUCUUGCAUUCAAUUUGCAAAGUACAAACCAGGCUCACUACAUUUAACUAUGUACUUGGACUUUGUGAAAUCCAUGACAAAUAAUGACAUUUUCUGAGGGAACAUAUUUUGAUGCAUCUAGAAGGGCAGCACAAAUUGAGUAUGGCCAACAAAUAAAAUAUACUGAAUUUUAAAUUAAA
Molecule: long non-coding RNA, 389 nt
Organism: Rhincodon typus (whale shark)
Lineage: Eukaryota; Metazoa; Chordata; Chondrichthyes; Orectolobiformes; Rhincodontidae
Exons: 2
Source: RefSeq, a predicted model, not a curated record